This 60-nucleotide transfer RNA is filed under the name Eutreptiella gymnastica. The record is from RNAcentral. Lineage: Eukaryota; Euglenozoa; Euglenophyceae; Eutreptiales; Eutreptiaceae.
AGUAGCAUAUCGGAAACACGCUUGUCUCCCACGUCAUGGGUCGUGGGUUCGAAUCCCGGC